AUGAAACCUCUCUCACUCUUCUCGGCGGAAUCUUCAUCUUCAACCUUCAUUCUCUCUUUAAGUUCCUCUGCUUCUGCAACUCUUUCUCUCACUAUCCAUCUCUAUCAACCACUAACCUUCAAUCUUCAACAUAUCCUUUAUCAUCUUCAGCGAUUCAAUGUAAUCACCAUAACUUCAUUCCCUUAA
Non-coding RNA from Vicia faba (fava bean), 186 nucleotides. The record is from the annotation of a GenBank genome assembly. Lineage: Eukaryota; Viridiplantae; Streptophyta; Magnoliopsida; Fabales; Fabaceae.